UUCCGGUUGAUCCUGCCGGACCUUACUGCUAUCGGGGUGGGACUAAGACAUGCGAGUCGAGCGUCUCUAGCUAUGUUGAGACGCGGCAGACGGCUCAGUAACACGUGGCUAACCUACCCUCAGGACGAGGAUAAACCCGGGAAACUGGGGCUAAUACUCGAUAUGUGAGAAUGUCUGGAAUGAUUUCUCACUCAAAGGGCCUUGGGAACAUGCUUCCAAUGUCGCCUGGGGAUGGGGCCGCGUCCGAUCAGGUUGUUGGUGAGGUAAUGGCUCACCAAGCCUAUAACCGGUACGGGCCGUGAGAGCGGUAGCCCGGAGAUGGGUACUGAGACAAGGACCCAGGCCCUACGGGGCGCAGCAGUCGCGAAAACUCCGCAAUGCACGAAAGUGUGACGGGGCUACCCCGAGUGCCAUCCGCUGAGGAUGGCUUUUCCUUGGUAUAACUAGCCGAGGGAAUAAGGAGAGGGCAAGACUGGUGUCAGCCGCCGCGGUAAUACCAGCUCUCCGAGUGGUAGGGAUGAUUAUUGGGCUUAAAGCGUCCGUAGCCGGCUUAGCAAGUCUCCUGUUAAAUUCAGCGACCUAAUCGUUGAGCCGCGGGAGAUACUACUAUGCUAGGAGGCGGGAGAGGUCGACGGUACUUCUGGGGUAGGGGUGAAAUCCUAUAAUCCCAGGAGGACCACCAGUGGCGAAGGCUGUCGACUAGAACGCGCUCGACGGUGAGGGACGAAAGCUGGGGGAGCGAACCGGAUUAGAUACCCGGGUAGUCCCAGCCGUAAACGAUGCGGGCUAGGUGUUGGAAUGGCUACGUGCCAUUUCAGUGCCGCAGGGAAGCCAUUAAGCCCGCCGCCUGGGGAGUACGGCCGCAAGGCUGAAACUUAAAGGAAUUGGCGGGGGAGCACCCACAGGCGUGAAGCUUGCGGUUCAAUUGGAUUCAACGCCGGA
RNAcentral lists this ribosomal RNA (942 nucleotides) under uncultured archaeon. RNAcentral describes it as "bacterial SSU rRNA". It matches the Rfam family "Archaeal small subunit ribosomal RNA", at positions 1 to 922 of the family's 1478-position model. The record is from RNAcentral.